This 596-nucleotide long non-coding RNA is filed under the name Ananas comosus (pineapple). RNAcentral describes it as "long non-coding RNA (ACOM_LNC014671)". Lineage: Eukaryota; Viridiplantae; Streptophyta; Magnoliopsida; Poales; Bromeliaceae. The record is from RNAcentral.
CAUCCGAUAUCGGAUUCGAUAAGAUGUGAAUAUGAAUGUCAAAAUUUGGCUUUUGAUACUUAUUCGUAUCUAAACUCGCAUUCGAAAAAAUUAAUAUAUAUAUAUAUAUAGAGAGAGAGAGAGAGAGAGAGAGAGAGAGAGUUGAGCUAGAAUACUGUCGAUAGCAAACGGGCUCCGUUGCCACCAAUUUGUUUUCGAUGAUGGAGCAUCCAAAUCGACGAUCGGCACCGUUGAACAUGAUCUAUACCACUUGAAGUGUUUAGAAAUCAAAUUUCAAAUCUUUGCGACAUCAUUUGCCUAAUGAUCAAAGGGUUUCAAAUUUUGUAAUUUUAAUGGUCGAUAUGAGGCGUUUUCUCGUUUAACGGCGUAAAGAUAUCCAAAUCAAUUGAAUUUUUGUUAGAAAAUUUUUUAAAUUAUUUAAAACAAAAUCUAUACUCUUGAUCUUGAUUACAAGACUCCUAUCAUCAUUUUUUAACGAAUAUUCAUUUUCAGCCGUUCAUUUUUGUGUCCACUCGAUGAAUAAGAGGAUAAUAUCGGAAAUGUAUGAAAUUUGAUUUCUAAACACUUCAAAUUGGUAUAAAUCAUGUUCAACGGUG